Molecule: non-coding RNA, 28 nt
Filed under: Mus musculus (house mouse)
Lineage: Eukaryota; Metazoa; Chordata; Mammalia; Rodentia; Muridae
Source: RNAcentral
UACUAGGUAGCUAAGAGGAGCAUCCAGC